GUAGGUGGCAAGCGUUGUCCGGAAUUAUUGGGCGUAAAGCGCGCGCAGGCGGUUCUUUAAGUCUGAUGUGAAAGCCCACGGCUCAACCGUGGGAGGGUCAUUGGAAACUGGAGAACUUGAGUACAGAAGAGGAAAGCGGAAUUCCACGUGUAGCGGUGAAAUGCGUAGAGAUGUGGAGGAACACCAGUGGCGAAGGCGGCUUUCUGGUCUGUAACUGACGCUGAGGCGCGAAAGCGUGGGGAGCAAACAGGGAUUAGAUACCCUGGUAGUCCACGCCGUAAACGAUGAGUGCUAAGUGUUAGGGGGUUUCCGCCCCCUUAGUGCUGCAGCUAACGCAUUAAGCACUCCGCCUGGGGAGUACGGCCGCAAGGCUG
This 374-nucleotide ribosomal RNA is filed under the name uncultured organism. RNAcentral describes it as "partial 16S ribosomal RNA". It matches the Rfam family "Bacterial small subunit ribosomal RNA", at positions 527 to 896 of the family's 1533-position model. The record is from RNAcentral.